RNAcentral lists this ribosomal RNA (462 nucleotides) under uncultured bacterium. Its description in RNAcentral is "SSU rRNA". It matches the Rfam family "Bacterial small subunit ribosomal RNA", at positions 26 to 518 of the family's 1533-position model. The record is from RNAcentral.
AGGAUUAACGCUGGCGGCGUGCCUAACACAUGCAAGUCGAACGAGGUGGCAAUACCUAGUGGCAGACGGGUGAGUAACGCGUGGUCAACCUACCGUUGAGUGGGGGAUAACUAGCCGAAAGGUUAGCUAAUACCGCAUACGUGUCCGAGGGGCAUCCCUUGGCCAUAAAAGGAGCAAUCCGCUCGAUGACGGGACCGCGUCCCAUUAGCUAGAUGGUGGGGUAACGGCCUACCAUGGCACCGAUGGGUAGCUGGUUUGAGAGAGCGACCAGCCACACUGGGACUGAGAAACGGCCCAGACUCCUACGGGAGGCAGCAGUGAGGAAUUUUCCGCAAUGGGCGCAAGCCUGACGGAGCGACGCCGCGUGUGGGAAGAAGGCCUUGGGUCGUAAACCACUGUCGAAGGGACGAUAAUGACGGUACCCUUGGAGGAAGCCCCGGCUAACUACGUGCCAGCAGCCGC